Molecule: non-coding RNA, 425 nt
Filed under: Pan troglodytes (chimpanzee)
Lineage: Eukaryota; Metazoa; Chordata; Mammalia; Primates; Hominidae
Also listed under: 1 other name
Source: RNAcentral
AUCUGAUCCAUUCUCAGAUCCUAACAUUUCCCGUGCUGAUUUUAGAGUUAAUGGUAGCAGUUCCUGCCUUUGUUAUCCUCUUCUAGUGUGGGUCUGUCUGUAUGUGUUAUGAUUUGUGGUAAAGCUCUUUGCCUUCUUCCCCCUUUCUAGCCUUUAACUUCCUUUAGGCAAAGGAAAGGUGGCUCAACUUCCAGUUCCCCUUCCAGACGCCGAGGGAGUCGAUCAAGGUCACGCUCCCGAUCCCCUGGUCGACCACCUAAAAGUGCCCGCCGAUCUGCUUCUGCUUCCCACCAGGCCGACAUUAAGGAAGCAAGGAGGGAAGUGGAAGUUAAAUUGACUCCGCUGAUUCUGAAGCCAUUUGGAAAUAGCAUCAGCAGAUAUAAUGGGGAGCCUGAGCAUAUUGAGAGAAAUGACGCACCUCAUAA